This 480-nucleotide long non-coding RNA is filed under the name Musa acuminata (dwarf banana). RNAcentral describes it as "long non-coding RNA (MACU_LNC007895)". Lineage: Eukaryota; Viridiplantae; Streptophyta; Magnoliopsida; Zingiberales; Musaceae. The record is from RNAcentral.
AUAUCAAUAACAAAUACUAAAUAGAAGCUCAAACGUCGUCUUUGACGUUGCAUUCAUAUCAUUCUUAUCCAAAGCAUGUACAGAAACACAUAACCAAAGCUCUGGAUAUCACAUCAAACAUACAGAAGGUGUAGUGGGACCACAGACAGAAUGUGAUUCAUCCAUUUCUGAAUGACCACCAGACAGAAGUCUCCCACGUCUGGGAGCUCCAUCCACCCACGUCUAGGUGAAGUCAGAGGGGGCCCGCAGAGCAUCGCAGGCUCUAUGCAUAACUCCCUUUACCAUUUCUGGCAAAGGUUCACAUUAUCCCACAACACCAGAGUACAAAAGGUAGUAUGAACAAUAAAUAGCAUAUAUCAGAAGCACACGCGGAACAACAAAAUGUACAUGUGCCUUUACGAGUCAAUACGAUGCAAGCAACAAUCUCUCACAAAUGUAUUCAGAUUUGGAAUGAAAUGAAAGUAAGAGUAUACACGGAUU